GACGACGCUGGCGGCGUGCCUAAUACAUGCAAGUCGAGCGGGGAUUAUGCUUGAUCGCUUCGGUGAGACGGCAUAUAUCCUAGCGGCGGACGGGUGAGUAACGCGUGGGUAAUCUACCUCGUAGUUCGGGAUAACAGGCCGAAAGGCUUGCUAAUACCGGAUGAGUUCAUGCUUAUGCAUAUAGGCAUGAAGAAAGGGCUAGCCCGCUAUGAGAUGAGCCCGCGUCCCAUUAGCUUGUUGGUGGGGUAACGGCCUACCAAGGCAACGAUGGGUAGCCGGCCUGAGAGGGUGUACGGCCACACUGGGACUGAGACACGGCCCAGACUCCUACGGGGGCAGCAGUAGGGAAUUUUCGGCAAUGGGCGAAAGCCUGACCGAGCGACGCCGCGUGAGGGACGAAGGCCUUCGGGCUGUAAACCUCUGUCUGGGGGGAUGAGAACGGACGGUACCCCCGGAGGAAGCCCCGGCUAACUACGUG
Molecule: ribosomal RNA, 478 nt
Filed under: uncultured bacterium
Lineage: Bacteria
Description: bacterial SSU rRNA
Rfam family: Bacterial small subunit ribosomal RNA
Source: RNAcentral